GGUCUCGCGGGAAGCUGUAGUAGUUUCAAGGCGGCAGGAGGGCGGUGGCUGCUUUAUGGUGAACCUGACAGGCUCGCUGCAAAGUCUCUGUCCGGAGUUUCCCCGUGUACCGUUAGCCCAGGCAGCGUAGAUAAGGCUUACAGAGGAGAGAUGUGGAAAGUGAGGAGCCAGGAAUUCACUAAAAGCACGUGAGAAACAGUGAGAGGACUGCACGGCCUUUGCUCCUUGUACACACUGUGCACGUCUUGAGGACGCGAGAUGAGUAAGACACGGCCCUUCGAGGGAGUCUCUGUCAGCUGGGCUGUGAGAAGAGUGAUAAAGGGCCCACAAAGAGGCUCACAGGAAACUUCCCAGUUGACUGGAAAAAAACACAACCGAAGCCCUGUCAGCGACUCUGGUGGUGGCUAAUCAAUCAAUCCUUGUAGAAUCGAAUGGUGGGCAACGUUCUUUGUUUUACACCAGGCUUCUGUUCCAGCUGCUGCUGAAGGGUAAAUCUGCUAGUCCCAUCCAGCAUCAAUCCAGAGGAAGGUAGAACACUGUUCCGCAGACACAAGCACCGGCACCGGCACAGACACACGAGGUUGCAAAGAGAGAAGGGAACACCUUUAGCUACAGAGAUCCACAAAGUGGGUACGCUGGUGGCCCUCGGUUUGGAGGCAUAUCAUAUCAGGUAAGGCUUUGGAAUCUAAUGUUGAUCCUAAUUCUGGGAGUGGAGGAUCCAUGGACUGACUAGA
Camelus dromedarius (Arabian camel) is the source of this 734-nucleotide long non-coding RNA. RefSeq lists it as uncharacterized. Lineage: Eukaryota; Metazoa; Chordata; Mammalia; Artiodactyla; Camelidae. The transcript is spliced from 4 exons. The record is from RefSeq and is a predicted model, not a curated record.